GUCAGCUCUGAGACAAAGGAUUUGCCUUGCAAGCAUGAACACCUGGGUUCCAUCCCAGAGCCUACAUUUAGAAAAGCAGACAUAGUGAUCCACAUGCUAAGCCUCCUGAGCCUGCUGCCUGCCCCACUUUCCCUGCCGUGCUGAACACAAUCCCCUUGAACGGUCACAGGUGUAAGUGGGAGUCGGGGUCUGAACCAACGAGGUAAUGGAACCCGAGGCAGAUACAGACGCCCGCCCGCCACUGGCCCUGGCUCCAUAACAUGCAAACUAUCGAGACCUACAGCCCUCCACAGGGCAUCUGUGAUUCGAGUUCAACUGGUCCAGCUGCAGCUCUAGUCA
Molecule: long non-coding RNA, 339 nt
Organism: Mastomys coucha (southern multimammate mouse)
Lineage: Eukaryota; Metazoa; Chordata; Mammalia; Rodentia; Muridae
Exons: 3
Source: RefSeq, a predicted model, not a curated record